CCCAGGGCUGCGCCCUGGGCUAAUAUGACUCGCGCCGUUGGCGCU
RNAcentral lists this small RNA (45 nucleotides) under Candidatus Moduliflexus flocculans. RNAcentral's name for it is "Acido-Lenti-1 RNA". It matches the Rfam family "Acido-Lenti-1 RNA". The record is from Rfam by way of RNAcentral. Lineage: Bacteria; Candidatus Moduliflexota; Candidatus Moduliflexia; Candidatus Moduliflexales; Candidatus Moduliflexaceae.